Molecule: ribosomal RNA, 254 nt
Filed under: uncultured bacterium
Lineage: Bacteria
Description: partial 16S ribosomal RNA
Rfam family: Bacterial small subunit ribosomal RNA
Source: RNAcentral
GACGAACCGUGCGAACGUUAUUCGGAAUCAUUGGGCUUAAAGCGCGUGUAGGCGGAUUCGUGCGUCUGUCGCUGAAAUCCCCCGGCUCAACCGGGGAACGGGCGCGGAUACGACGAGUCUGGAGGGGCAUAGGGGGACCUGGAACUUCCGAUGGAGCGGUGAAAUGCGUUGAGAUCGGAAGGAACGCCCGUGGCGAAAGCGAGGUCCUGGAUGCCUACUGACGCUGAGACGCGAAAGCCAGGGGAGCGAACGGG